Long non-coding RNA from Mandrillus leucophaeus (drill), 3737 nucleotides. RefSeq lists it as uncharacterized. The record is from RefSeq and is a predicted model, not a curated record. Lineage: Eukaryota; Metazoa; Chordata; Mammalia; Primates; Cercopithecidae. The transcript has 2 exons.
GUUAUCCAGUCCUGUUCAGUUUGUCCUUCAUUACUAUCUCUCAAAUUUGUCCACUUUUUUACAUCCACGAGCUUUGUCUAUAAAUAACUUCUUGCUCUGGGCACUUCAGCAGUUUUUAAACUGGUUACCCUACCUCCAUUGCCUCUCUUCAACCAGUUCUACACAUUGAUAUGAGGGACCUUUCCAAAAUGCAUACUGGGCCAGUUUAAAUGUCACUACCCAGUUUAAAUCCUGAAAUGAUUUCUUCAACUAGAUUUAAGAUCUGAAAUGGUUCCUCUAUGUGUCUAGAUUUUAAAAUUUAAAUUCACUAGAAUGGGCCAUGAGACCAUCAAUGAUUUGGGUCCUGUCCACCUCUCCAGCCUCUCCCCCCAUGCCAGGUGGUUCAGCUUUAGUGAACUCCUGCAGUUUCCUUGCCACCCUGUGCUCUCUCAGGCCUCUUCCCACCACCCAGAAUGCCAUCUACCUCCUUCCCUCCACUGUACCUUCCUGCCCCCGCCCCGUCCCCAUUCCUCAGCUGACAUCCUGUCAAUUUAUUAAGAUAGCUCUGGCAUUGCCACCUCAGUAAAUCUCCAAUCCCUGUGACCUGUUAGGUGCUGCUCUUCUGGAGGCAGCAAAAGAUAAUAGACCUUUUUUUCAGAUGUGCUUGGAUUUAGUUGCUUUGUGACUUUGGCAAGGUUUCUAAUCUCUGAUCUGUUUUCUUACCUGCAGAAUGGAAAAAUUAUAUCUUACAGGGUUGUUAUGAAGGUGAAAUGAGAUAGUGCGUGCAAGCAUCAAGCACUGUGCUGGCACACAGUAGGCUUGCUUCUCUUCUCCAGUACAUGCUCCUACUACGCUACUUUAUGCCAGUAAGCAUCUGUUUCUAUUUUAAGUGUAGUUAACUCCUCUCCUGCUUUAGACAGGAGUUCCUUUAGGGUGUCUUCCAUCUCUGCAUCCCACCAAAUACAAGUAAAGGGCAUGUAUUUGAGGAGGAGGAAGAUGAGUUUUAUUUUGGACGUGAGUUUGAGGUGCCUCUGAGAAUGUACAAGCAGAGAUGUCCAUUUGGCAGUUGGAACCUGCUGGGUCUGGAGCUCAGCAGAAAUGUCCAGAUUGAAGAUAAAGUCUGGGGAGUGAGUUGGGAACGUGUCAAUGGUGGUCAAAGGCAUGGUUUGGGUGAGGUUACUGUCUGUAUUCAAAUUACUUAGAAAACCGAAUCUUAGGCAAAGCUAGUGUUAGCACUUUAUUGGAGGGUGAAGUCUCAGAACAGUGAGAGUGAGGGAAAGGAGGAAAAGAAAAUCAAAGGUUAGUGUUAGUGAGUUGGCUCCUGCCUCACAAAGACAGCUGGUCACUUUCCCAUGUUGGAUGUCUCUGGAUAGGCUACACAGAAACACCAUGACUGGCUGGAACAUUGUAUUUGGAUUGAUGGAGGGAUGGAGGGGAAAUUCACCUGCUCUGCUUCCUGCCCAUGCUUUACUGCCCAAAGUUUGCCAUGGGUCCAGUGUUAGCUCCCCACUUCCUUGCUGGGAUGAUAUUUCUUGGCCACUGGGAAAGCCAGAUUCCAUGCCUUGUGGCAUGGCAUUUAAUCUAAGUCCUGCAAUGGCAAGGGGAACAGAAUGUGGUCACCGGCCUGUGGGAGUUGGUCAGCACACAGCAAGCAGCUGGAGACCUGGGAGUCAGGGGAGGCUGAGAGAAUCUGAAGCAGCAAGUUACCUCAAGAGAGUAUACAGAGGGAAGGGAAGAUAGAACCCUGGGAAGCCCUGAGAGUUAAAGAGCCUGCAGCCUGAAGGGGCAUCCACUGCAAGCAGAGGGCCCCGGUAGAAAGCAUUGUCACAGAGCCAAGGGAGGAGAGAGAUUGAGAAACUCAAGAGGGCAGUCAAGUUCUGGGAAGUGGCCAUUGUGAUUCAGAGAUGCCUGAUGAGCUGGCCAGAGCAGUCUCCAUGGAAUAGAGGAAACAAACUAGGUUGUGGUGGCUAGAAAGGGGAGACAGCAGCUCACGCUUACUCUGUGCCCUGGGUGGCGUCCAUUCAUGGGGAUUGUGGAGAAUGGAUAGCCAGGCAGAUGACCAGGGAAUGAUUUCUGGAAACUCGGAUGUGAUGGUAGCAGAGAGGCCUGGCGAGGUGCUCUGUGUACCAAGGAUGGAGCAUAGCAUAGUAACAGCCACCUUUGAUUCAUCCAAAGCCAGAAAUGCCAGUGUGACAGAACCAAGCAGACUGGCUGGCAGUUGGCAGGGACAGGAUAUAAACAUUCUCAACUCUGUUCCCUGGGUGCUUCUCUCUUUUGGUGGGUUUUGGGAAGUUUCCUAGGAUUAACGUUACCUGCCCCAGCAUGGAGGCAGCUUUGUGAAAUAAGAAUAGGGCUUAUAUUCCAUCUCUUCCACUAUUGAGCUGUCUGAAUGUGGGGAAGGUGCUUAACCUUUUAACUUCAGUUUCUCUAUUUGUAAUAGGCCAAUAGCACCUUCCUCAGGUGAUAAUCUUAGGUAAUCUUCAGGGAGAAAAUUAAAUGACAUAACAUGCUUGAUACAGAUGCUUAAAAAAGGCUACCUGGGAGAGGCCGAUACUAAACAAAUGAAAAGGAAACAAAAUAGAAGCAGUCACAUUCCCAAGACGUACACUUGUGACACACAUAACCAUCUUUUGAGCCCCAAAGGAUAGGUAGCCAUGGCCAGGUGCGGUGGCUCAUGCCUGUAAUCCCAGCACUUUGGGAGGCCGAGGUGGGCGGAUCACGAGGUCAAGAGAUCAAGACCAUCCUGGCCAACAUGGUGAAACUGCAUCUCUACUAAAAAUACAAAAAUUAGCUGGGCGUUGUGGCACAUGCCUAUAGUCCCAGCUACUUGGGAGGCUGAGGCAGGAGAAUCACUUGAACCCCAGGAGGCGGAGGUUGCAGUGAGCCGAGAUCGCGCCACUGCACUCCAGUCUGGCGACUGAGUGAGACUCUGCCUCAAAAAAAAAAAAAGGAAAAGAAGGAUAGGUAGCCCUUUGUGCCCCAGCUUUCAGCUUGUUUCUGUGGGUGGCUACUGUCUUAUUUUCUAUCAUCCAGGCACUGUUUCCUCCUCGUUUUAGCAGGCCAAGGCUGAGAGAGAAUCUAAACAUGGUGGCACCUCCCUCACUCCACUCCCACAAUUUGAAUUCACCUGCUUAGUUCACAUUUUCAGUGCUCUACCUCAGUGGGGAGCAGGGGUGGGGCAAUGCAAAGACCCAAAUCUGCUGCUGGGUAAUCCUAGGGAAUGUACCAGGCCCCAGAGCUGAGUCUACCCUACACAGCCAUGAGGCAAAAAGUGAAUUAGGAACAGGUAUGCUCUAUAGCCUCGGUACUGUGGAAGUUUUACAGCACAGGUGACCUUGGCCCCUGUCAAGUAGGCCCAGGGCACCUGGAAAACACUUAAGUCUGAGGGUGAGUGGUCCCUCCUGCUUCUCUGUGGUUAUUGUUUCAUGUAGCCAGCUCUUCUAUGUGUAUGGGUAGCAUGACCAUUCACCUAGCCUCCCUCCUUCUCUAUUAUCUGUGCCACCCGAAACAGGUAUUGCUACUCCCAGGGACAGAGGUCCUCAGAGGGGCAGCCUGGGGCGUUUGGCCUACAUUCCUUUUCCAAAGGCUGGGGAGUUUGGAUGUGGGAAUUGGACUCUUCUUGCUCAAAUAAUGGGUGCCAGAGUAAAUAGAUGUCUCUCACCCUGUGUUUUGUUACUUUUUAUUACGGAAAAUUUUAACAUACAAAUGAGAGGAGAGUGUAAUGACUUACAUGUACAAUAUAUGUUCAUUUCAUGGUU